This is a long non-coding RNA of Poecile atricapillus (Black-capped chickadee), 487 nucleotides long. RefSeq lists it as uncharacterized. The transcript has 3 exons. Lineage: Eukaryota; Metazoa; Chordata; Aves; Passeriformes; Paridae. The record is from RefSeq and is a predicted model, not a curated record.
GGGGGGGUCACAGGGUCACCUGAGGGGGUCACAGGGUCACCUGGGGGGUCACAGGGUCACCUGAGUGGGGGGGACAUUUGGGGACACCCCCGAUGGGGUCCCUCAGGGGGUCCCGGGGAGGGGCUCAGGACCCCCCCCCCCCCCAGGUGGUUCUUCUUCAUCUUCAGGUGCAGCCCCAGGUACAUCGGGGGGUCCCGGAGAGCAGGUGAGGGCCCAGGUGAGUCUGGGGGGUCCCAGGUGAGUCUGGGGGGGCCCAGGUGAGUCUGGGGGGGCCCAGGUGACUCCAGGGGGUCCCAGGUGAGUCCAGGGGGGUCCCAGGUGACUCCAGGGGGUCCCAGGUGACUCCAGGGUGGGCCCAGGUGAGCCCAGGUGACUCCAGAAGGGUCCCAGGUGACUCCAGGGGGUCCCCAGGUGACUCCAGGGGGUCCCCAGGUGACUCCAGAGGUGUCUCAGGUGAGUCAGGGGGUCCCCAGGUGACUCCAGGUGA